RNAcentral lists this long non-coding RNA (200 nucleotides) under Elaeis guineensis (African oil palm). RNAcentral's name for it is "long non-coding RNA (EGUI_LNC066393)". Lineage: Eukaryota; Viridiplantae; Streptophyta; Magnoliopsida; Arecales; Arecaceae. The record is from RNAcentral.
AGUCCGAUGUGAAACCUCAAUAAUUUUUUUUUUCAUUAUUUCACUCUACCAUGGCCAUGGGCUUAAGGACUCGAUCUUUCGAUCAUCUUAAGACUAUUUCUCUCAUCUACCGAGAUUGAUAGAUCCCAUCUUGGUGCGACCUAGUUCCUACAAUGAAUAUGCUACAGCCAACAUACACCUCAAGGUUCCAAAUGGUUAGG